This 482-nucleotide ribosomal RNA is filed under the name uncultured bacterium. Its description in RNAcentral is "partial 16S ribosomal RNA". It matches the Rfam family "Bacterial small subunit ribosomal RNA", at positions 28 to 506 of the family's 1533-position model. The record is from RNAcentral.
GAUGAACGCUGGCGGCGUGCCUAACACAUGCAAGUCGAACGGAGUCGUUUUGGAAAUCUCUUCGGAGAUGGAAUUCUCGACUUAGUGGCGGACGGGUGAGUAACGCGUGAGCAAUCUGCCUUUAAGAGGGGGAUAACAGUCGGAAACGGCUGCUAAUACCGCAUAAAGCAUUAAAUUCGCAUGUUUUUGAUGCCAAAGGAGCAAUCCGCUUUUAGAUGAGCUCGCGUCUGAUUAGCUAGUUGGCGGGGUAACGGCCCACCAAGGCGACGAUCAGUAGCCGGACUGAGAGGUUGAACGGCCACAUUGGGACUGAGACACGGCCCAGACUCCUACGGGAGGCAGCAGUGGGGAAUAUUGCGCAAUGGGGGAAACCCUGACGCAGCAACGCCGCGUGAGUGAAGAAGGCCUUCGGGUUGUAAAGAUCUUUAAUCAGGGACGAAACAAAUGACGGUACCUGAAGAAUAAGCUCCGGCUAACUACGU